GGGUUGUGAGGUUAAGCGACUAAGCGUACACGGUGGAUGCCCUGGCAGUCAGAGGCGAUGAAGGACGUGCUAAUCUGCGAUAAGCGUCGGUAAGGUGAUAUGAACCGUUAUAACCGGCGAUUUCCGAAUGGGGAAACCCAGUGUGUUUCGACACACUAUCAUUAACUGAAUCCAUAGGUUAAUGAGGCGAACCGGGGGAACUGAAACAUCUAAGUACCCCGAGGAAAAGAA
This 231-nucleotide ribosomal RNA is filed under the name Escherichia coli. Its description in RNAcentral is "partial 23S ribosomal RNA". It matches the Rfam family "Bacterial large subunit ribosomal RNA", at positions 1 to 223 of the family's 2925-position model. Lineage: Bacteria; Pseudomonadati; Pseudomonadota; Gammaproteobacteria; Enterobacterales; Enterobacteriaceae. RNAcentral also lists the same sequence under 1 other name. The record is from RNAcentral.